GAUGAAGCCCACUUGUGGGUGGAUUAGUGGCGAACGGGUGAGUAACACGUGAGUAACCUGCCCUUGACUCUGGGAUAAGCCUGGGAAACUGGGUCUAAUACCGGAUAUGACUGAUCAUCGCAUGGUGGUUGGUGGAAAGCUUUUGUGGUUUUGGAUGGACUCGCGGCCUAUCAGCUUGUUGGUGAGGUAAUGGCUUACCAAGGCGACGACGGGUAGCCGGCCUGAGAGGGUGACCGGCCACACUGGGACUGAGACACGGCCCAGACUCCUACGGGAGGCAGCAGUGGGGAAUAUUGCACAAUGGGCGCAAGCCUGAUGCAGCGACGCCGCGUGAGGGAUGACGGCCUUCGGGUUGUAAACCUCUUUCAGUAGGGAAGAAGCCUUUCGGGGUGACGGUACCUGCAGAAGAAGCGCCGGCUAACUACGUGCCAGCAGCCGCGGUAAUACGUAGGGCGCAAGCGUUAUCCGGAAUUAUUGGGCGUAAAGAGCUCGUAGGCGGUUUGUCGCGUCUGCCGUGAAAGUCCGGGGCUCAACUCCGGAUCUGCGGUGGGUACGGGCAGACUAGAGUGAUGUAGGGGAGACUGGAAUUCCUGGUGUAGCGGUGAAAUGCGCAGAUAUCAGGAGGAACACCGAUGGCGAAGGCAGGUCUCUGGGCAUUAACUGACGCUGAGGAGCGAAAGCAUGGGGAGCGAACAGGAUUAGAUACCCUGGUAGUCCAUGCCGUAAACGUUGGGCACUAGGUGUGGGGGACAUUCCACGUUUUCCGCGCCGUA
Molecule: ribosomal RNA, 773 nt
Filed under: Pseudarthrobacter sp.
Lineage: Bacteria; Bacillati; Actinomycetota; Actinomycetes; Micrococcales; Micrococcaceae
Description: bacterial SSU rRNA
Rfam family: Bacterial small subunit ribosomal RNA
Source: RNAcentral